Saccostrea echinata is the source of this 526-nucleotide long non-coding RNA. RefSeq lists it as uncharacterized. The transcript has 3 exons. The record is from RefSeq and is a predicted model, not a curated record. NCBI's taxonomy places the organism in Eukaryota, Metazoa, Mollusca, Bivalvia, Ostreida, Ostreidae.
GGUUAACGCAGACAGACGCAUUUUGCCGGAAAACGAAUCUGACAUGCCACCUCGAGAUUUUAACCAAGGAAAGACAACUUGAUGUGCUUUGAUUUGAGGGGUCACUCAAUGCUGAACGAAAAUUAGGGACAUUGCUAUGUGAAGAAACGUUAACAUUGCCGCCUAUGGGAAAACAAUUAGUGGGCUGUACCCAAUAUGAGGAGCCUAUUGGAUCAUGGUGAUACAGGACAAUGUCGAGGUUCAUGCAGAUGUGUUUAAAACUAUCAGUCAGUAAAAACAAACUCAUUUGAACACAUCUUGAGUCUUCACAUGUAAAAUGAUGGCAGUACUUUUAAUAUAGGUUAACGCAGACAGACGCAUUUUGCCGGAAAACGAAUCUGACAUGCCACCUCGAGAUUUUAACCAAGGAAAGACAACUUGAUGUGCUUUGAUUUGAGGGGUCACUCAAUGCUGAACGAAAAUUAGGGACAUUGCUAUGUGAAGAAACGUUAACAUUGCCGCCUAUGGGAAAACAAUUAGUGGGCUG